This 649-nucleotide ribosomal RNA is filed under the name Sphingobacterium sp. RNAcentral's name for it is "bacterial SSU rRNA". It matches the Rfam family "Bacterial small subunit ribosomal RNA", at positions 90 to 736 of the family's 1533-position model. The record is from RNAcentral. Lineage: Bacteria; Pseudomonadati; Bacteroidota; Sphingobacteriia; Sphingobacteriales; Sphingobacteriaceae.
UGAGAGUGGCGCACGGGUGCGUAACGCGUGAGCAACCUACCCCAUAUCAGGGGGAUAGCCUCUCGAAAGAGAGAUUAACACCGCAUAACAUCAUUUACCGGCAUCGGAUUAUGAUCAAAUAUUUAUAGGAUAUGGAUGGGCUCGCGUGACAUUAGCUAGUUGGAGGGGUAACGGCCCACCAAGGCUACGAUGUCUAGGGGCUCUGAGAGGAGAAUCCCCCACACUGGUACUGAGACACGGACCAGACUCCUACGGGAGGCAGCAGUAAGGAAUAUUGGUCAAUGGAGGGAACUCUGAACCAGCCAUGCCGCGUGCAGGAUGACUGCCCUAUGGGUUGUAAACUGCUUUUGUCAGGGAAUAAACCUUUCCACGUGUGGGAAGCUGAAUGUACCUGAAGAAUAAGGAUCGGCUAACUCCGUGCCAGCAGCCGCGGUAAUACGGAGGAUCCAAGCGUUAUCCGGAUUUAUUGGGUUUAAAGGGUGCGUAGGCGGUCCUAUAAGUCAGUGGUGAAAGACGGCAGCUUAACUGUCGCAGUGCCUUUGAUACUGUAGGACUUGAAUCUAUUUGAAGUGGGCGGAAUAAGACAAGUAGCGGUGAAAUGCAUAGAUAUGUCUUAGAACUCCGAUUGCGAAGGCAGCUCACUAAGUUA